UAAGACAAGGGCACCUCUUGUUGGAGAUCCCUGUGUGCAUGAGGCCUUCUAAAGGUGAGCAGUGCUUUACCUCUGUUUCUGUAUCUGUGGUGGCUGCAUUUGGGCUUGUUCUCAUUUGCUGUUUCCAAAGACUUUGCUACCCCUCUAUUAUCACUGUACUUUCCAUCCCAUUAUAGCAUUACAGUGGGGGUGAUUGGAGUUAACAGGAGCCCAUGACCAGCUGAGUAUGGAAUGCUCCUCUGGUGCAGAAGAUCACAUCAUCACUUUAUCAUUGCUCCAGAAGGACCGGGCAACGGAGCAUAAUUUAUCACUACAGCUCAAAGAUCUGCCAUGGCAGAGCCUGCUGCCUUGUGCCAAGCCAACCUGCCUGGUGUAACCUUUUGGGGGCAAGGAGGGUUGGCUGGGGAGCGAAGGCUACAGAAGCAACAAGCUAAGGAGAGCAGACAGAUCUCUGGCGGACCCAAGACCUUCUGGCUAGACACAGAACUGGAGAUGCUCAUGUGAAAAAAAGCCAUAUAGAAAUGAUACACAAGUGAUAAAAGCUCUGAGUUCUCAAAAGAGUUACAGACAAGUCAUGUGCAAGACCCCAGCCCCAUCAUCUCCCACCUGAGUGACAAAGUGCUCAGCACAGCAACUGCACCGUGCCCUUGGGAAA
Molecule: long non-coding RNA, 655 nt
Filed under: Numida meleagris (helmeted guineafowl)
Lineage: Eukaryota; Metazoa; Chordata; Aves; Galliformes; Numididae
Description: lncRNA (ENSNMEG00000012795.1)
Source: RNAcentral